This 6951-nucleotide long non-coding RNA is filed under the name Nicotiana tabacum (common tobacco). RNAcentral describes it as "long non-coding RNA (NTAB_LNC001682)". Lineage: Eukaryota; Viridiplantae; Streptophyta; Magnoliopsida; Solanales; Solanaceae. The record is from RNAcentral.
GCUUAAACCAAAACAUUAAAAUUAAGAAGCAUCAACAUUUCAUUAACCACGCAAAAUACUAUGAUAGAGUAGUAUCAUAUGGCAUCAAGCUAAAUUAGAGCACAAUUAAUUAUCCAUGUUAGUCAGCUAAUCACAUUAUCCUAAUACAUCCACUUCAAUUAAAAUGAAUUUCAUUGGCUGUCGCUGGAAUUACUAGCGCCAGAAGAUCUUCUUGCAUCAGUGGGUGAAACGGGUCCACUAGCUCUAUCACUUGGCUGCAGCAAAAAGUAAAAAAAAAAAAAUAUAACUAUUAGGAGUAUCAGCAAACAAGUCACAUUAAGAUGAAAUAUAUGUUAUCUAUUUAAACCAACAAAAUGAAAGCUUUUAUCAUAAACAAGUUAUUGGGAUGAAAGAUAUAUUUCAAUUAAACCCCAACAAACUACAUCCAUUAUCAACAGGCAGUUUAGUCAUAGUUGAAUCAACUAAACUCCCACCCCAUAGGAGAAAAAAUAUAGAAGCACCACUGUUUAUUGCCCUAUUCAUUUUAAUAUUUUCUGAUGAUAGAGUCCUACGGCUCUACCUAAGGGAGUGUUUAAGUAGUUAGACAAAAGCAAAUAGAUUAUCAAACAAUGCAACCACUUCCGCAUUCUAUCUUAUCUAGUUAUUCUUAGGAGCACCGUAGUACAUGCUCAAUUUGGUACUCAAAACAGAUUUAAUUAACAUGUAAUUAGCAAACAAGUCAUGCUUCCAAGAAUUAGCUCGAACUUUGCAUAGGGCAAUAAACAACUCACCAAGAAUUUCAAAGAACUCGACCUCUGAUUCAAGAAAUCACAAACACAAGAGGCUUAAGAGCUCUUCUCUUUCUAAGAAAGCUAAGCUUCAAAAUGAAAGUACAUCUUGGAAAGAAAACCGACCUUCCACUAGUAACAUGAAUGGCAUCAGUAGAGCAAAGGAUUCAGAUUGUCUUAUCCAGGAGAAGGACUUAACUAUAGUAGAUAUAAACACAUCAAACACCGAUAGAGAUAACGACACAAAGAUGAAAAAUGGGAAAGCAUCACAAUGUAGUAAAGCUGGCUGGCUGUAUAAAUAUGAAAACUGAGGAAGGAUAAGCAAUUAGCUCGAAAGAGAAAUUUGGGAAAGCUGGCCAAGAAGAUAUUUGGUGCAUUGGGAGAAAGAAAGAAAGGUGAGCUUAAGCAGAAAAAUUUACCCCUUAGCAUUUGCAAUUCCAGGCAUCAAUUAAGCCCGAAAGAGGAUAUGAAAUCCAAGAGCACUCUGUCACCUGAUGAGAACGUAAACGCUACUGCCAAUAAUAAGCCCAUUUCUCAAGUUGAAAGGACAUCGAUGUGGAAGUGCAACGAAUUCACAAUAUAAUAAACUAUCAAAUAAAAAAUAAAAUUGCACAAUAUACCAGAAAUAAGAGUACUUAGUGUUUACUGUUGUAGGAGGAGAACCAAAGAUCCCAUCAACUUAUUCUGGUAUCGACCCUUCCUUCAUUAACAUGUAUGCUUUGUGGGUAUUCAACAAUUGAUCAUACUUCUAUUGGCAUCCAGAAGAAGAACAUCCAGCAUUAUUACUCACAAUUCUAAUAUUACCAAGACGAAGAUAUGUCUGUCUGAAAGUAUUGCUUGGAGUAGUUCCUAAUCUCAAACAUCGAUGCUCUUUGCCUAGCACCUUAACAACAACAUCAUUUGGAGAAAUUUGAGACUCAUCCACUGUACUUUCACUCACUUCUAGCUCAAUUAUUUCCUAAACACAAUACCCAUAAUCAAAGAACUAUGAGCCAACAUUAUAUAUUGACCAUCUGGCAAAGUAAGGAAAUCAGAUACAUUUGCGCUUAAUUUUUUAAAUCUUCCACACAUCCUUAGAUCACCAAAUGAGCCAUGAUAAAUACACAAGUACCAGUAAUAAGUGCUGGUGGAGUAUAUAAAGAAUUACAAGAGGACCCUCAAAUGAAUUUCUUGUUGAUUGUUAAUCAGUGGUACAACGGCACGUGAUAGAAAAAACAAAUUUCAAACAAUAUCUAACCAAAAAAAAAAAAAGCUACACCAAAACUUUUAGAGAUCUUCAGAAAAGAAACAAUAACAAGAAAUUAUUAUUAUCGAAGAUUUUAUCAAUUCGAGACCAAUUGAAAUCCAAUAAUAUAAACUUUUAUAUCCUUCAAUCGAUCAACUACACUUCAAUUGGAGAUAAAUUGAAAUGAACUAUAUAAAGUUUCUAUAUCUACCUAACCCUAUUCGAGCAUAUAUCUCAUACUAAUAUAUCUCAUCCUCACGAUCACCAAUAUGAAUCAAUAAAAUUCCAAGCAUCUUUUUUGAACCCUCUAUCACGAGUAGUGUCAGCCCACUAGCAUUUGAAGAGCACAACCGUGAAUCGAUAGUAAUUAAGCUCAAUAAUAUCUUCUAACUUCCCAUAGUACGACAAGUUUACUUGCCUUGCACUUCUAUCAGCACUAGAUGCAACACAAGAGGUGUCAGGGAUAAGAAAAACUCCACUAUUUUGAGUUUUUAAUCCUUGAUCUCUAGACAAAACUCAAAAUUUGAAUCCAUUGAUGUUAUAAGCAGUGAACCUUCUAGCAUCUGGCGCUGGACCUCGUGCUAGGAACUUCAGAUCGGUAGAGAUAGUGUCUGCAAUUUAUGGGUUCAUAAUCUAACAAUAGCAAACUUAUUAUAGUGAAGCAUAUUAAAUCCAAGGAGAAUAGCUACGUAAAGCAAAUGUUAUUAUACCAUUCACUCACCCGCUUUGGGAGCCAAUCAGGAAACUCUCUAUUAACCCUCCUCUCUAAAUCUGAUGCUGAAGGUCUCCGCCCUCUUGUGCUCUUUCUUAUGUGAUCCCUAAACUCACUUCAAAUGAGCUAACUAUAUCAAUUUUAAUCAAUUUAACUCUAAACUUUUGCUGUUAUUCAUAUCAAUUUUGUUUACUUACUCAAUAAAUGGCUUCAUUGUUGCACAAUUAAAUAAGACAUAUCAAUGAGCUUGCGUCUUCAUUAAUGGAGUCAAGGGAAAUGUUGAGGAGCCUCCAACCGGUUUACCUUGUGGAGGGAAGAUAGAGGAUAUUUCAGAAGCGUCAUUAAGAUUUGGUUCAUCAUUUACACGUCUGGGCCUAUUCUGCCUUGACUCAAUCCCCUCAAAGUAACGAGAACAAAAAGUUAGAGCUUCUUCAACAAUGUAACCUUCAGCUAUGGAACCUUCUAGUUGUGCCUUAUUCCCUACGAGGGACUUAAAAUGACCUAACAGUCUAUAACAUGAAAUGAAACAGGUUUAGAACAAGCACUUAACUUGAAUUAAUAUAACCUAUAUCAAAAUUCCGAAUAAGAAAUAUUUUACCUUUCAAUAAAAUACAUCCACUUAACUUAACUUGUAUUGCUUCAUCUACUAGAUGGACAGUUAAAUGAACCAUUAUAGUAAGGAACAAUGGUGGGCAAAAUGCGAUCUUGUAACUUUUCUAGAUCCGCCAAACUCAAACUUUUAAGAAAAAGUUCUCUAAAAAAAGAAGAAAGCUCUACUAAGACUGCAACAUCCUCCUUUGGCAACACAUUGCGAAUUGCUAUUGGUAGCAAUUGUUCCAUAAUGAUGUGAUAUCCAAAGAUUCUCCUUUGGUCCGGAUCAAUGCAAUCCGAAAUAUUACUCGAAUAACCAUCCGACGCUGAAAUAUUCUUUAAAGUUGUGAGGAAGGCCACUUUAUUUUCCUUUGGAAUGGUAAACACAGCAAGCCGACAAUCAUUAUUCUCAUCAGGCCAAAGAUCACGCCUUAUACCCAUAUCUUGUAAAUCUUUUCGUGCCUUAGUAUUAUCUUUUGACUUGUCUUUAUCAUUAGGCAAUGAAUAUAUAAUAUUGUCAAACACAUUCUUUUCGAUGUGCAUGACAUCUAAAUUAUGGUGCAACGAGUUGAAUUCCCAAUAUGGAAGAUUAAAGAAUAUGCUUUUUUUCCUCCAUUGUUGUGCUGCACCUUGUCUAAUAUUUCUUUGUCUAAAUCUUUUCCUUCUUUAUUCAACUCAGAUGGUUUUCCAAAUGUAACAUCAAUAUCUUUCACUUAUUGCAAAAUAUCAGAUCCGGAUAACUUUCUUGGUGGAUUUAUUUCCUCCACAUUUCCAUCAAAGCGAUGCUUCAUCAAUCUAAAUUUAUGAUUUCUUGCUAAAAAUCUACGAUGACCAAUAAAGCACCACUUUCUACUAUGCCGAAGCUGAUAAGGUUCUGCAUCAAAAUUACAAGUGGGACAUGCUAAACCAAUAUGUGAGUUCCAGCCAAAUAAGAUAUCGAGUCCAGGAAAGUCAUUAAUUGUUCACAUAAGAGCUGCUCGUAAUCUAAACAUCUCUUUCUGUGAUGAAUCAAAGGUUUCGAUACCCUCACUCCACAACUCAUUUAACUCCUUAAUAUGGGAUUGUAGGUAAACAUCUAUGUUAUUUCCCACCGUACGUGAACCAGGAAUGAUCAUUGAGAGAAUAAUAUUUGGUUGUUUCAUACACUACCAAGGAGGAAGGUUGUAUGGAACUAAAACAACUGGCCAAAUGCUAUAAUUAGUACUCAUCGUGCCAAAAGGAUUGAAGUCACUAGCUAGACCUAGCCGAACAUUUCGAUGAUCAAAAGCAAAUUCAGGAAAAGUUGUAUCAAACCUCUUCCAUGCCUCACCAUCUCUAGGAUGACUCAUGAUUCCUUCUCUUUACCAUCUUCAGCAUGCCAUCUCAUAUGUUUUGCUAUUUUAGAGCACAUGGACAAUCUAUGCAACCUUGGUUUUAAUGGAAAGUAACGCAAAAUCUUUGCAGGCUUCUUAGUUUUCCUUUUGGUUUGCUUCUUACCUGUAGCAGACACAAGAUUUUCAUUUCUCUUCUUGUUAGGCUUCCACCUAGAAGUGUGAUAAUACUUACAUGUUUCCUCAUUAGUAUCAUUCCACCAAAAUAACAUACAAUCAUUUGGACAAGCAUCUAUCUUGAUAUAAUCAAGACAAAGCUUACUAAUGGUUUUCUUGGCCUCAUAAAAAGAAGCAGGGAUCCUUGCAAAUGUAAAUGUGUCCCUCAAAAAAUCUUGUAUUAUGGUCAUUUCCUUGUCACUUAGCCUAGACAAACACUUUAUGUGAUACAAUUUUAAUAAAAAUUCUAGUUUUGAGUACAUGGACCCUUAAUACAAUUCUUGACUUCCAUCUCUAAGCAACUCGAAAAAGUCUUUGUCAUUUGAAGCAGGCUCAUCAUUUAACCUUUUUUCACCACCCACUACUUGUGAUGGACCUACAUCAACCCCAUCGUGCGUUAGGCCCCCAAAUGCUUCAUUGAUCAGUAAUUCUACAGGAUUUUCAGGAGGUAAUGUAUUUUGUAUAACCUCAAUGUUUCUAGAAUUAGGCAACACGUUCCUUUCACCAUGAAUACUCCAAGUGACAUAAUUUUGAGGGAAUGGUUUGCAAAUCAAAUGAUCAAGCACUACAUCUCUAGUCUGCCACUUUGUGAAUCCACAACUUGGAAAAGGACAUUUUAUUCUAUCUCCCACAACAGCAUUAGCAAAUGCUAAAUCUAAAAAUUGAUUUAAACCAAGCAAAUGUUCAGUGGUGUUCCUUGGCUUUCUAAUCCAAAAUUUAUCCAUAGGAAAGUAUUAACCUUCAAGUGCAGCAGAUGAACCUUUAAGAAUAUAAAGAGAAAAUAUCAGUUUUCUUUUAUUAGAUAGAAAAUAUGAAUACAAAAUAUUAACUAUGAAGCAAUAAAUACAUACAGCAAAAAGCCAUCAAUAAUCAUAAACACUACAAAAAAUUGAGAAUUCCGAAACAGAGAAUGUAUUUGCAUAUAUAGUCAUAGUCACAUGUCCCAACAAUAAUUAGUAAAUUUCUAUAUCUAAAGUUAUUUGAGAACUAACGACUUACACAUUACUAAACAACUUGAAGGAACAAAAAAUACUUAAAAAUGAAUUGAAACAUACAAAAAUAUAUUUCUUACCUCCGAUAUCGACAGAAUUCCAAAACCUUCUACUAUAUUUUUUGAUAAAUCAGCCUCUCAGUCCUAUUUGAUCAAAACAACAACAAUUAUACUCGAAAUAGAAAAAUAUUUGACAAAUUAAAAAUUUACACAAAGUAGAAUUACAAAUACAGAAAACUUUUCAGUUUUUAUUUUUUAAACCAAACUUCCAUGAGACAAAAGUAAAAGUCAAUAAUUCUUACACCUUAAGUAAAAUGUUGUGCCUAUAAUCAAAUUCAAAAACCCAGAAAUAGAAGAAACCUGCCUGAACUAGAUUAUCCAUCAUGCAAUUUAAAUUAUCUAAAUUACUGAACCAAAACAAUAAAAUAAAAAAUAAAAAAAUAAACCCUAAACAGUAAAAGGAGAUGGCCAACUUUAAAGUAUUAUACCUAGACAAACAUGGUAAUAUUUAUGUCAAAACUCUAAACAAUAAAUGUGGUUUUAGAUUUUUGUAGGAUCAAUCAAAAGUAAAGAAAAAAAUGCAAACUGAUUGUAAGAAAAAGAAAUACUAGACUUCAAAUCCUUAGAACUUCAGCAAAGUUAACCCAUUUUUCAGUGAAGAACAAGCAAAAAAGUAAAACGUUUCUAGUGCAUAUAAAUUUUCGAAAAUUUUCACAACUAUUAAAAAUAAUACUUCCAUUAACAAUGAAGAAAGGAAAAAUCUGGUACAAAUCAAAAAGCAUCUAACAUAAGAAGUAGUAAUUGGGGAACAAGCAAUUGGUAGAAAAGUUAAACCUCCUGUUAAUCCCACAACCAACGUGAAUUGAUUUCAACUGGUAAAAAAUAUCUUGUUCCUAAAAUACCACAAUGGCUGAAAAAAUAUCUUGUUCAUCAAAUGGGUGAAAUGGUACCUGUAGAGAGAGAAUUUAACAAUAUAUAUAUUCAAAAUCAAAAUACCUGUAGAGAGAGAAUUUCAAUUUAAAGAGAUUGUGGUUUCCUGCAGAAAGAGAGAGAGAGAGAGAGAGUCUACUAGGCGGAAGUGUGAAAGGCAGAAGUUUCUAGACUGAAAAGGCUGGGGAAAAAAGUAGGGAGUGUGAAAU